AGCAGUCGCCGCGGUAAUACGAAGGGGGCUAGCGUUGUUCGGAUUUACUGGGCGUAAAGGGCGCGUAGGCGGACUGAUAAGUCAGGGGUGAAAUCCCAAGGCUCAACCUUGGAACUGCCUUUGAUACUGCUUGUCUUGAGUUCGAGAGAGGUAAGUGGAACUGCGAGUGUAGAGGUGAAAUUCGUAGAUAUUCGCAAGAACACCAGUGGCGAAGGCGGCUUACUGGCUCGAAACUGACGCUGAGGCGCGAAAGCGUGGGGAGCAAACAGGAUUAGAGACCCCCGUAGUCCCUGUCUCUUAUAC
RNAcentral lists this ribosomal RNA (303 nucleotides) under uncultured bacterium. Its description in RNAcentral is "partial 16S ribosomal RNA". It matches the Rfam family "Bacterial small subunit ribosomal RNA", at positions 507 to 807 of the family's 1533-position model. The record is from RNAcentral.